This is a non-coding RNA of Pelobates cultripes (western spadefoot toad), 214 nucleotides long. The record is from the annotation of a GenBank genome assembly. Lineage: Eukaryota; Metazoa; Chordata; Amphibia; Anura; Pelobatidae.
AAUUAAUCGUAGAUUUCUCUUUUGGAGCUACUGGAGAGAAAAAUUCGGGUAAGCUCUUAUCUAAUUUAUUCUCUCUUUUAUUCCUUUUUGUCAUCAUUUUUAGUAUAUAGGUGUCUUUUCUUUUUCCUUCUUUCUCCUUCCUUACUAUAUCCCUUUAAGAGAGAAACACAACACUAAAAAAAUGUGCUGUUCAAUGAGCCAGAGAGGAAGUUAU